CUGCUGCCUCCCGUAGGAGUCUGGGCCGUGUCUCAGUCCCAGUGUGGGGGGCCUUCCUCUCAGAACCCCUACGCAUCGUCGCCACGGUGGGCCGUCACCCCGCCGUCUAGCUAAUGCGCCGCAUGCCCAUCCGCCACCGGAUCGCUCCUUUGGCCACCGGAGGAUGCCCUCCGGUGGCGUCACGGGGUAUUAGGCCGCGUUUCCGCGGGUUAUCCCCUGUGGCGGCCAGGUUGCAUACGUGUUACUCACCGUGCGCCGGUCGCCGG
Molecule: ribosomal RNA, 266 nt
Filed under: uncultured bacterium
Lineage: Bacteria
Description: partial 16S ribosomal RNA
Source: RNAcentral